This 84-nucleotide transfer RNA is filed under the name Salix viminalis (osier). It matches the Rfam family "tRNA". From Rfam's summary of the family: Transfer RNA (tRNA) molecules are approximately 80 nucleotides in length. Their secondary structure includes four short double-helical elements and three loops (D, anti-codon, and T loops). Lineage: Eukaryota; Viridiplantae; Streptophyta; Magnoliopsida; Malpighiales; Salicaceae. RNAcentral also lists the same sequence under 1 other name. The record is from Rfam by way of RNAcentral.
CCGACCUUAGCUCAGUUGGCAGAGCGGAGGACUGUAGUGGUCACUGUAAUCCUUAGGUCGCUGGUUCGAAUCCGGCAGGUCGGA